UAUUAAGCGUUUAAUUAACAAGCAUGUUGAGAAAACGAACAUAUGUCAUUAGAAAUAAAACUUCCGUUAAUUAAAAUGAAAACAAAAUCAUUUUUGUCAAGCAUUCAUCUCUACUUAUAGGUUUCUUAUAACACCAAAAUUCACGUAAAAUCGCAUAUUAUGUCAAAUUGGUGUCUAUGACCUACCAAAGUAAAAAAAAACGAGCACAUGGACUUAAUUAUAUCACCUGUUCCACUUCAGUACCCGUAGAGAAAAAUAUAUAUCGACUGUGAAUCAGUAAAUAUAAACGAUAUUUGUAUUCCUGUUAUCAUAUUUUAAUGGCCCAUCAACAGAAAACGUGGUGAAAAUACCAUAACCUUUGGUAGAAAAGGUAGUGUAGUAAAAUCAUUUUACAUACAAACAAUAUCGAUAAGGUAUAAUAUCACGCUCAAACCAUAGUUAAAACAAACUCUAUAUGAUAAGAAUAUGACAGACAUAUUCUGGAAAGUCUAACAUAUUUCUUAAAAUAGCAUCUUUUCAAAAAGAAAUUACAUAGUUUUGACUGGAUUAAGGAUCAUGCUCCACGCGUCCGUACUUACAAAAAUGUGGGAAAAAGAGGCCAUAAGGGCCUGAACGUUUAUUUUCCAGAAUUAUGACACAUGUUAAAGUGAAUAGAGUUUGUAAUUUAGCCGCCAUGACACCAAUGACGUUUCAUACUUUUUCCCAAUAUGGCAUCGUGUUAAGAUCUGACCGUGGAUAUUUCUGUGAAGUUUCAGACAUUUUGAGUUUAAGUUUAAAGCACAACUAAAGUAAACUAUAAACGACCUCACUGUCGAUAAUGUGGUAUGGAAGGGUAUUUACAACAUGGCGGACCAGGAUGAGUGAAUAAGGUAGGCCUUAACUUCAAGCUACCAGAUCAGUUGUUUGUACACGUAUUGUGCCCAUAACAAGUACCGUACUGAACUCAGAAAAAAGUCAACUUUGAAAUUAUAUUAUUGUAUUUUUGUCGUUCAGUUCCAAUUAAAAUACUUGUCAAUCCAUCGUGAAGUUUGACAAAUUGUUGUAAAUGUAAUCGAGGCGGCGUCUGUCGUGAUAAUUUGCCGAUAUCGAAUUAUUUAAAUGGUCUAAUAUCUCUCUACCUUAUCAGAAAUACUCAAUUGAGAUAAGAUAGCAUGCCAUAUACUGUUUAUGUCCACAUUAAUAUACGUUUUCGAUAAUAAUGGGUGAAAAAAAUGUUUAUGCUGGGGAUUGAUGAAACGUUAUCAAAUCCAUGUUUGUUAUCGGCAGUGACCCUAAGAGGACAUUAGUCAUGUAGGUGUUAUGUGGAUAUUGUCCAAAGAAGGACGAAAAUGUCGGAAACUCAUUUUAAAAUUUAUUCAAAUGUGAUAUCUUCUGCACUUUCCUAUCCAAGAUUCACCUAAUAAACCAUCAUGAAGUACACCUUUUUACAUUACAUAACGCUAUUUAAGUUUGUUUCGUUCUGUGAACGCGUUGUUGACGUCUUGAUCCGGCUGUUUUGCUGAACAAUUUGAUACUUUGUUUAUUUACUUUGAAAAGUAUCAAAUGUGCUGUAUCUUGUUCUGGCCUGUACAGAGAUGACGGAAUAUGAUACGGCAAUGGCAGGGCCUGUUACAAUAAGGAACCAUGUCAAUAGACAUGACACCUUUUAACAUUUUAUUUUAUUUCUAUUUACGAUCGCGUUAAUAUCAGAUUUAUUGCCGUAAUUGAAGGGCAGUUUGGUGUUCUAGGUUAACUUAUAGAAGCUAAUAAAGAUGUCCAUGAUUUUAGUAUGGGAUAUCGUUGGUGUUCCCCAUCCCGACGUUAUAAGAUUGAAAUAACGUUUUCGAACGAACUAAAUCGAUUAUUAUUGGAUUAGGACCUCUAAUGAAUAUGUUAUAUUACUUUCUUUGACCUAGAUCACUAUUUCAUUAGAUAUUGUUUUGAUAGAUUUUCAUAUUUUGGAAAUAUAUCAUUAUAUCGUUGCUAUUACAGUCGAUUACGGACUAGGCGAAACAGUUGCAGCAUAAUGCGAAAUAUGCACGAUUCAAAAUAGUAUUGCGUAAUGUUAUUAAUAUAAUAUUUCAAACAUUUUAUAUUCAUAAGAGCGGACUACCACAAAUGCAACAGGUACAAAAACAUCUCCAAAAACAUCCGAAAACAAUGUGACGUCAUCUGAAUGUAUAAAUCAAAUGCAUCAGCAAGUCUGAUACGUUCAACAUUAUCGGGUGCAACACUAACUAACAGAUAGCAACAGUGACUCAAAAGUGAUAAGCGAAACAGGAAAAAAAGUAUCUAUAUAACCUCUCCCAUAUAAAAUGUAUACACAAAUUCAUGAUUUACUAUGAGUGUUCACAUUACAAUGGCAAUUUCGCUUUGAAUCAACUUAAAUGUAUAACAGAAUUGAAUAAAAUUGUAUCAAGUAAGGAUUAUCAAUGCCAAGUCCGAACAUCUACAUUUAACAAAGUAUUCCAGUAUGAAGUUCCCAGCCAUGUUAAUUUCCAAUAGAGGUCAGCCUAGAGAUUUUGUUUACAUUAAGAAAACCACUCAUCGAUACAUGGCUUUGUGACAUCAACGUUGGUUUUCUUGGCUAUUCAUUUAACCAAAUUAAUUGAUGAUGCACUUGCCUAAUUAACCUAAAUAAUAAUAACCUCUCCCAUAUAAAAUAUAUAUAUAAAAACACGACUUACUCGGUAUGUACAAAUUACAUUGGAAACAUAAUUUCGCUUUUAAUCUACUUGAAUGUAUAACAGAAUUGAAUAAAAAUGUUUAUAGCUGUUGUAUAAAGUAAGGAUUAUCCAAUGCCAAGUCAGAACAUCUACAUGUAACAAAGAAUUCUAGUAUUAAGUAUAUCAACAAACAAGUACAGCAAGAAUAAUAAACAAUUAAAUGAUAACAUAGCUUCCAUGUAUACCACAUCCAUAUUAAAAUGUAAAACAAACUUGAAGGUUGAUUUAAUCAAUAUUUUCACCUGGUGUACACAUGAUCAAAUUGAUCAAGUUUCUACCACAAUAUGUGAGUAAUAUUCAACUCCCAAGGAAUACAAGAAUCAUAACUGUUGAAUAACAUUGUUUAUACCUCACGUGGAAUAAACGCUAAACGCGUGUUGAUUGGUUGACACGGUGACAUUUGACCCGAACUGCAAUUAUAACUAAUGUCAUCAAUAAUUGAAUGACAUCACAUUACCGGGUCCCGGCCGUCACUUGUACACCUUAUUUGCAUACGCUCAAUUAGACUUGGCCACGUCCCCCUUUGAUUCAAACCGAUACCAUUGUGUUAGAAACAGGUCAAACGACUGAUUUUUGAAUAUGGAAUUUAUUUCACACUCGUGGGUUAUUUUUUAAAA
Molecule: long non-coding RNA, 3322 nt
Organism: Pecten maximus
Lineage: Eukaryota; Metazoa; Mollusca; Bivalvia; Pectinida; Pectinidae
Exons: 2
Source: RefSeq, a predicted model, not a curated record